Molecule: ribosomal RNA, 612 nt
Filed under: Bacillus cereus
Lineage: Bacteria; Bacillati; Bacillota; Bacilli; Caryophanales; Bacillaceae
Description: partial 23S ribosomal RNA
Rfam family: Bacterial large subunit ribosomal RNA
Source: RNAcentral
AAGGGCGCACGGUGGAUGCCUUGACACUAGGAGUCGAUGAAGGACGGGACUAACGCCGAUAUGCUUCGGGGAGCUGUAAGUAAGCUUUGAUCCGAAGAUUUCCGAAUGGGGAAACCCACCAUACGUAAUGGUAUGGUAUCCUUACCUGAAUACAUAGGGUAAGGAAGACAGACCCAGGGAACUGAAACAUCUAAGUACCUGGAGGAAGAGAAAGCAAAUGCGAUUUCCUGAGUAGCGGCGAGCGAAACGGAACAUAGCCCAAACCAAGAGGCUUGCCUCUUGGGGUUGUAGGACAUUCUAUACGGAGUUACAAAGGAACGAGGUAGACGAAGCGACCUGGAAAGGUCCGUCGUAGAGGGUAACAACCCCGUAGUCGAAACUUCGUUCUCUCUUGAAUGUAUCCUGAGUACGGCGGAACACGUGAAAUUCCGUCGGAAUCUGGGAGGACCAUCUCCCAAGGCUAAAUACUCCCUAGUGAUCGAUAGUGAACCAGUACCGUGAGGGAAAGGUGAAAAGCACCCCGGAAGGGGAGUGAAAGAGAUCCUGAAACCGUGUGCCUACAAAUAGUCAGAGCCCGUUAAUGGGUGAUGGCGUGCCUUUUGUAGAAUGAAC